This 445-nucleotide ribosomal RNA is filed under the name uncultured bacterium. RNAcentral's name for it is "bacterial SSU rRNA". It matches the Rfam family "Bacterial small subunit ribosomal RNA", at positions 330 to 792 of the family's 1533-position model. The record is from RNAcentral.
CCCAGACUCCUACGGGAGGCAGCAGAGGGGAAUAUUGCACCAUGGGGGAAACCCUGCUGCAGCGACGCCGCUUGAGCGAUGCCGUAUUUCGGUAUUUCCCGCUCUAUCAGCCUUGAAGAAGAUGCCGGUACCUGACUCCUCCGCCCCGGCUCCCUCCGUGCCAUCCUCCUCGGUAAUCCUGCUGGGGCAAGCGUUCUCCGGAUUUCCUGGGUGUAAAGGGAGCGUAGACGGCGAUGCAAGCCAGAUGUGAAAGCCCGGGGAGCAACCCCGGGACUGCAUUUGGAACUGUGUGGCUGGAGUGUCGGAGAGGCAGGCGGAAUUCCUAGUGUAGCGGUGAAAUGCGUAGAGAGGAGGAGGAACACCAGUGGCGAAGGCGGUCUGCUGGACAGCAACUGACGCUGAGGCGCGAAAGCGUGGGGAGCAAACAGGAUUAGAUACCCCUGUA